GGGUUGUGAGGUUAAGCGACUAAGCGUACACGGUGGAUGCCCUGGCAGUCAGAGGCGAUGAAGGGCGUGCUAAUCUGCGAUAAGCGCCGGUAAGGUGAUAUGAACCGUUAUAACCGGCGAUACCCGAAUGGGGAAACCCAGUGUGAUUCGUCACACUAUCAUUAACUGAAUCCAUAGGUUAAUGAGGCGAACCGGGGGAACUGAAACAUCUAAGUACCCCGAGGAAAAGAAAUCAACCGAGAUUCCCCCAGUAGCGGCGAGCGAACGGGGAGGAGCCCAGAGCCUGAAUCAGCAUGUGUGUUAGUGGAAGCGUCUGGAAAGGCGCGCGAUACAGGGUGACAGCCCCGUACACAAAAGCGCAUGUGCUGUGAGCUCGAUGAGUAGGGCGGGACACGUGGUAUCCUGUCUGAAUAUGGGGGGACCAUCCUCCAAGGCUAAAUACUCCUGACUGACCGAUAGUGAACCAGUACCGUGAGGGAAAGGCGAAAAGAACCCCGGCGAGGGGAGUGAAAAAGAACCUGAAACCGUGUACGUACAAGCAGUGGGAGCACCCUUUGGGGUGUGACUGCGUACCUUUUGUAUAAUGGGUCAGCGACUUAUAUUCUGUAGCAAGGUUAACCGUAUAGGGGAGCCGGAGGGAAACCGAGUCUUAAUUGGGCGUUAAGUUGCAGGGUAUAGACCCGAAACCCGGUGAUCUAGCCAUGGGCAGGUUGAAGGUUGGGUAACACUAACUGGAGGACCGAACCGACUAAUGUUGAAAAAUUAGCGGAUGACCUGUGGCUGGGGGUGAAAGGCCAAUCAAACCGGGAGAUAGCUGGUUCUCCCCGAAAGCUAUUUAGGUAGCGCCUCGUGAAUUCAUCUCCGGGGGUAGAGCACUGUUUCGGCUAGGGGGCCAUCCCGGCUUACCAACCCGAUGCAAACUGCGAAUACCGGAGAAUGUUAUCACGGGAGACACACGGCGGGUGCUAACGUCCGUCGUGAAGAGGGAAACAACCCAGACCGCCAGCUAAGGUCCCAAAGUCAUGGUUAAGUGGGAAACGAUGUGGGAAGGCCCAGACAGCCAGGAUGUUGGCUUAGAAGCAGCCAUCAUUUAAAGAAAGCGUAAUAGCUCACUGGUCGAGUCGGCCUGCGCGGAAGAUGUAACGGGGCUAAACCAUGCACCGAAGCUGCGGCAGCGACACUGUGUGUUGUUGGGUAGGGGAGCGUUCUGUAAGCCUGUGAAGGUGUGUCGUGAGGCAUGCUGGAGGUAUCAGAAGUGCGAAUGCUGACAUAAGUAACGAUAAAGCGGGUGAAAAGCCCGCUCGCCGGAAGACCAAGGGUUCCUGUCCAACGUUAAUCGGGGCAGGGUGAGUCGACCCCUAAGGCGAGGCCGAAAGGCGUAGUCGAUGGGAAACGGGUUAAUAUUCCCGUACUUGGUGUUACUGCGAAGGGGGGACGGAGAAGGCUAUGUUGGCCGGGCGACGGUUGUCCCGGUUUAAGCGUGUAGGCUGGUUUUCCAGGCAAAUCCGGAAAAUCAAGGCUGAGGCGUGACGACGAGGCACUACGGUGCUGAAGCAACAAAUGCCCUGCUUCCAGGAAAAGCCUCUAAGCAUCAGGUAACACGAAAUCGUACCCCAAACCGACACAGGUGGUCAGGUAGAGAAUACCAAGGCGCUUGAGAGAACUCGGGUGAAGGAACUAGGCAAAAUGGUGCCGUAACUUCGGGAGAAGGCACGCUGACAUGUAGGUGAAGUGAUUUACUCAUGGAGCUGAAGUCAGUCGAAGAUACCAGCUGGCUGCAACUGUUUAUUAAAAACACAGCACUGUGCAAACACGAAAGUGGACGUAUACGGUGUGACGCCUGCCCGGUGCCGGAAGGUUAAUUGAUGGGGUCAGCGCAAGCGAAGCUCCUGAUCGAAGCCCCGGUAAACGGCGGCCGUAACUAUAACGGUCCUAAGGUAGCGAAAUUCCUUGUCGGGUAAGUUCCGACCUGCACGAAUGGCGUAAUGAUGGCCAGGCUGUCUCCACCCGAGACUCAGUGAAAUUGAACUCGCUGUGAAGAUGCAGUGUACCCGCGGCAAGACGGAAAGACCCCGUGAACCUUUACUAUAGCUUGACACUGAACAUUGAGCCUUGAUGUGUAGGAUAGGUGGGAGGCUUUGAAGUGUGGACGCCAGUCUGCAUGGAGCCGACCUUGAAAUACCACCCUUUAAUGUUUGAUGUUCUAACGUGGACCCGUAAUCCGGGUUGCGGACAGUGUCUGGUGGGUAGUUUGACUGGGGCGGUCUCCUCCUAAAGAGUAACGGAGGAGCACGAAGGUUGGCUAAUCCUGGUCGGACAUCAGGAGGUUAGUGCAAUGGCAUAAGCCAGCUUGACUGCGAGCGUGACGGCGCGAGCAGGUGCGAAAGCAGGUCAUAGUGAUCCGGUGGUUCUGAAUGGAAGGGCCAUCGCUCAACGGAUAAAAGGUACUCCGGGGAUAACAGGCUGAUACCGCCCAAGAGUUCAUAUCGACGGCGGUGUUUGGCACCUCGAUGUCGGCUCAUCACAUCCUGGGGCUGAAGUAGGUCCCAAGGGUAUGGCUGUUCGCCAUUUAAAGUGGUACGCGAGCUGGGUUUAGAACGUCGUGAGACAGUUCGGUCCCUAUCUGCCGUGGGCGCUGGAGAACUGAGGGGGGCUGCUCCUAGUACGAGAGGACCGGAGUGGACGCAUCACUGGUGUUCGGGUUGUCAUGCCAAUGGCACUGCCCGGUAGCUAAAUGCGGAAGAGAUAAGUGCUGAAAGCAUCUAAGCACGAAACUUGCCCCGAGAUGAGUUCUCCCUGAGACUUAGAGUCUCCUGAAGGAACGUUGAAGACGACGACGUUGAUAGGCCGGGUGUGUAAGCGCAGCGAUGCGUUGAGCUAACCGGUACUAAUGAACCGUGAGGCUUAACCUUACAACGCCGAAG
Molecule: ribosomal RNA, 2924 nt
Filed under: Salmonella enterica subsp. enterica serovar Typhimurium
Lineage: Bacteria; Pseudomonadati; Pseudomonadota; Gammaproteobacteria; Enterobacterales; Enterobacteriaceae
Description: 23S ribosomal RNA
Rfam family: Bacterial large subunit ribosomal RNA
Source: RNAcentral